Long non-coding RNA from Triticum urartu, 2930 nucleotides. RefSeq lists it as uncharacterized. NCBI's taxonomy places the organism in Eukaryota, Viridiplantae, Streptophyta, Magnoliopsida, Poales, Poaceae. The record is from RefSeq and is a predicted model, not a curated record.
CUCUCGAUCCCGAUGCGACCUCUCUCUUUCCCCCAUCUCCCGUGCCGCCGUCGCCUUCAUCUCCCGCUCCGCUGCCGCCCCUGCUGCUCCGCCGGCCUGACCUCUUUGUCGGGCACGGCUGCAGGAGCAUCCCCACCUCUCCACUCCCUCACGCAACAGCACUCCAACCCCCCACCCCCACGCUCGGCUACCGCUAGGGUUUCUUACCCUCGCUGCCCCGCCAUGAUAGCUUGAGAGUGCAGUCGGCGGCGGCGGCGAAGGCGGCUCCUCAGAGCAGGGACACGUCUCCCGUCGAAAUCCAAGUCCGUUCGUGCGAGCUUCUCCUCCCCUCGAUCCGAUCUUCACCUUCGCUCAUGGUGGCCGUCAGCUGCCCUCCCGCCGGCGGCCAGCUUGACCUGCACGGCACUCGGUUGCCCACAUGGCCCGCCUCCUCCCCAUCGCGGCACUCUGCACGGCACUUGUUGGCCGCCGUUGGGCUUGCUUGCGGCGCACAGAUCGGGUCGCGCGCGACGGCUACAUCAUCGCCGGAUCUGUCGUUUCGUCCGACAGCGACCCCAACCCCAGCGCCCUCCUCCACCGCCCGCUUCCCCCACUCCCGCUUGACUCCACGGGCCGGUGGCGACGCUCUGCCCGGAGAUCCGCGGAUCUGCGUCUGCCAGCCGCAUUUGGCCCUCCGUCCACUGUGCUCUGCCGGCCCUGGCUCGCGCCGGGGUGGCCCUUGGCUCGUCACCAGGCUCCUGUGUGGCUUGCUCUCGCACGCCUAGAUGCACCAUUGUCGGGUUCCCUGUUGCCCCUAUGAUAUGAUAAAUGCAUCCACCCCUCCCAUUGGCUUGGGUACCUGAUGGAUUUGGUCUGGUCCGCCUACAGAGAUGUUGGUUCCGUUGUUUGCACAUGUAUCCUGAUGCCGGUUUCUCACCAUGGCUGUCAAGUACCGCCUUGUGAAGGAGUGGAGAAGACAACGUGCUCUGGUUCUCCUCCAGCAUGGUCAAAACAAUGGUGCCUUCACCCUUGCUCGUGCCUCAACCCACAUGGUCAUCUUUGAGACGUGGUAUUCAGUCACAUGACAGAGUUCUCUUUAUCCUUGAGGUCAGGUGCGGCAACUAGCGACAUGUGCUGGAGCUUCUGGCGGCGACAUCACCUGCAUCGAGCUCUCCCUGGUCGCCUUCGAGAGUGUGUGCGGCUCCGUCAAGCUUGUUAUGACGCACUUUGAAUUUCCGAGCAAGUCGCAGCCUUUUCAGAUUCAUCAACACAGGUUACAUCAGUACUCAAUAUGGUUCAGAUGCAUAAUAGUACGUACUUCAUUUCCUUUUUGUUGUUUACGGUGUCCUACAACAUGGAUCAUAUAUAUCGGUUAUCUUUCAAGUUCAGUUUGCUGUGGCGAAUUCUUCUUGAAUUUGUUGCAGCAAACUUGUGGUCAUGUAUGGUUUUUAGUUUUCUAAGCCUGCAUAGUUUAGAAGUUAGAACGCUCAUUCAUGUAUUGUUCUAAACUGAAAGUUUAAGUGGCUUUUCCACCCAUGGUAUUGUGGUGGUCAUAAUAGCACACCUCGCAAUUAUUGAUGGCCAGAUCUACAAGCCCUGAGCGGUGUGUGUUUUAGCCCCCUCUGCUUCUCCUGGGCAUCAAUCUAUGCACAACAAGCUCUUCAGUGCUUGAUGACAAAUAAAGGUUGCAUCUUAGAUAGUUGCUUGAUUUGAAUGAGCCAUUUUGCUCUCAGCUAAAAGUCAGAUAUAAGAUUAUGUUUCUUGGCACAUGAGUUAUUUUUCAAUCAACGCGUGGCGAGUCCACUUCGAACUGGUAUAUGCACUUUUUAUUUGAAACUGAACCACCAUGGUUUAAUUUUAUUUUCAUUUGGACAAGUUACCCCAAGUAUCAUCAGUUCAUGAUGACUGGUUUGGUGUGGUGAAUUGAUCCUGGUGCUGAUUUAAGAGUUUUUUAUGACACUGUCUUGUAAGGGAGUAAGGUCUGGUAUCUAUAUGGCUAUUAUUUUGUCUCUUACAGAUUGCCAUAUAUGACAUGCUAAUUGUUUUUAGCUCUUGAUAUAGUUAAACUUUUUUUUCCAAAACGAAGGCAAAAGAUUUGCCUCAUCCAUUAAGUGGGAGGAGAAUAGAGUUAAACUUUGGAUGCACCAGUGCCUGAUGCAUAUGUUUGUUUACUUGGUUUGAACUAUGAAUGAUAUGUUGUUAUCCUGAUUGCAUGCCUGAUGAGUUGGUUCUGCUGGUAUUUUGAGGAGGCAAGCUGUGGUUUUACUCCUGGCCCUGAGAAGGGUGAACUAGGCCAUAGCGAGGGCGCCUUCAGGAACAUCGAGUCAGGGUGCCUCACUUUCUAUUUCAUCUGCGAGGGUGAUACGUAUGAAGGAAAAGAGCCAGAGCGGCGCUUGGAUAAAAGUCAGUGCUGGAAUUUGUUUGGCAUAUGCGGAAAUCUUAGUAAAGGAUAAGGACGCACACGGCGGUGAGGUUAGUAGGGGCGUAACAAACGAGAAGGGCGGGCGUGGCAAUGGCCAUUCAUGUGUCAGACGAAAAUUGUACACCCACAUGUGUGACGAGGCUGGACUUGACAUAUGCAUCAACAAGCAUGGUGAUGAGGUGAGAGUUGGAAGCGUGGAUGUACUUGACAAGGAGCAAGUAGAUGUGAGCAAGCAUGGUGGGCAAUGUCGACGAUGUUCACGCGAGUGAGACAGUUUGAGGGGAAUGCCUGUGCAUAUUUGUGGCGGAAUGGACAGUUUGAGGGGAAUUAGCCUGUGUCUUUGGACAGGUUGUCGACAGAUAAAAGUUUUAUAGUUUGGCUUGAGGAGUAACAUAGACAGGCAUGCUGGUGCUAUAAGGCUAUAUCUCUCUUCGUGGACAAGAGCAUACAAUGCUUCAAGUUUCAUGGAAGUUUUUAAAUUCCAUUAUGAGGCUCAAUCUGAAAUAAAAUGGUGUCUUGCUUUACCAAA